RNAcentral lists this long non-coding RNA (439 nucleotides) under Medicago truncatula (barrel medic). Its description in RNAcentral is "long non-coding RNA (MTRU_LNC000344)". Lineage: Eukaryota; Viridiplantae; Streptophyta; Magnoliopsida; Fabales; Fabaceae. The record is from RNAcentral.
GCAAAUACCAUAUACAAACUCAAAUACCAACCAUACAUAUUGUACUUUUAGGAUGUAUAAUAUACAUAUACGACAUAUAUUAUACUAUACUAUACUUUAGUCACUGUGUAGAAAUUCAUUAAAUAUUGCAAACCUAAGCCCUCUAACAUCCCCACAUGUUUCAGUCUUGAAAUUAAAAAAAAAGCAUUAGAAUCAUACCCAACCCCACCACAACAUAUUAUUAAUGCAACAAAACACAUGUGGGGGACCAAACUGUAGAUAUAAAGAAAUGCCUUCACUCUAAUCAACUAAAGCUUUCACUUUUGCACUGUUCUAUAAUUGCUAUACAACAGAGAAGGGUUUCAUAUUCGAUUGCGAUUUUUGAUUCAAUUGCGGUUACUGUUUGAGCAUUGAUUGUCGAGAUUUGGGUCAAUUUUUGAUUUAGGGUUGCAGCAGCUUU